UGCCUACCAUGGUGAUAACGGGUAACGGGGAAUCAGGGUUCGAUUCCGGAGAGGGAGCCUGAGAAACGGCUACCACUUCCAAGGGAGGCAGCAGGCGCGCAAAUUACCCACUCCCAGUACGGGGAGGUGGUGACGAAAAAUACCGAUGCGGGACUCUUAUUGAGGCUCCGUAAUCGGAAUGAGUGAACUCUAAAUCCUUUCACGAGGAUCAAUUGGAGGGCAAGUCUGGUGCCAGCAGCCGCGGUAACUCCAGCUCCAAUAGCGUAUAUUAAAGUUGCUGCAGUUAAAAAGCUCGUAGUUGGAUCUCGGUAUCACUGUCGCCUGCCAGUCCUCGGCUGAUUGUGUCGGUGUAGGUGGGACCUUGCUUCGCUCGGUGCCCCUUGCCCAGGCAUGGUCAUGCUCGAGUUGGCGUGGCGGUGGUGUCACCUUUCAGCCAUGUCUGUGGUGAAAUACCCGCAGGUGUAGGCGAGUGUCAGGCGGUGCUCUGCGACAGUAGGGUCCGUCGGCUCGUCUGCAUGCCUUUGGAUGCCCUUCAAAAGGUGUCUAUGGGCGGAUGGCACGUUUACUUUGAACAAAUUUGAGUGCUCAAACCAGGCCGAUGUCGCCUGAAAAGUUUUGCAUGGAAUAAUGGAAUAGGACUUCGGUUCUAUUUCGUUGGUUUUCGGAUCCGAAGUAAUGAUCAAAAGAGACAGGCGGGGACGUUUGUAUGGUUGCGCUAGAGGUGAAAUUCAUGGACCGUAACCAGACAAACUAAAGCGAAAGCAUUCGUCAAGCAUGUUUUCAUUGGCCAUGAGCGAAAGUCAGAGGCUCGAAGACGAUCAGAUACCGUCCUAGUUCUGACCAUAAACGAUGCCAACUGACGAUCCGUGGUGGUAGUAUUUUAACCAUCCCCACGGGCAGUCACUGCAUGACAGCUGAAACUUCCUGACUCAACGUAUCCUAUUGCACACGGUGGUUUAUUUUCCUUUGAUAAGGA
This 976-nucleotide ribosomal RNA is filed under the name Schistocephalus solidus. RNAcentral's name for it is "Eukaryotic small subunit ribosomal RNA". It matches the Rfam family "Eukaryotic small subunit ribosomal RNA", at positions 338 to 1831 of the family's 1831-position model. Lineage: Eukaryota; Metazoa; Platyhelminthes; Cestoda; Diphyllobothriidea; Diphyllobothriidae. The record is from Rfam by way of RNAcentral.